GCCUUAAUGCAGCUCCCCCAGGGGGAACGGUCGCCAGCCCGUGAAAAUGCAGAGCGAGGC
RNAcentral lists this non-coding RNA (60 nucleotides) under unclassified sequences. The record is from RNAcentral.